CGUAGGGGGCGAGCGUUAUCCGGAAUCAUUGGGCGUAAAGGGCGCGUAGGCGGAUAUUUAAGUCAGGUGUGAAAACCCAGGGCUCAACCUUGGGAUUGCAUCUGAUACUGGGUAUCUUGAGGACAGGAGAGGAAAGUGGAAUUCCUAGUGUAGCGGUGAAAUGCGUAGAUAUUAGGAGGAACACCAGUGGCGAAGGCGACUUUCUGGACUGUAACUGACGCUGAGGCGCGAAAGCGUGGGGAGCAAACAGGAUUAGAUACCCUGGUAGUCCACGCCGUAAACGAUGAGUGCUAGGUGUAGGGGGUAUCGACCCUCCUGUGCCGCAGUUAACACAAUAAGCACUCCGCCUGGGGAGUACGACCGCAAGGUUG
This 371-nucleotide ribosomal RNA is filed under the name uncultured organism. RNAcentral describes it as "bacterial SSU rRNA". It matches the Rfam family "Bacterial small subunit ribosomal RNA", at positions 526 to 896 of the family's 1533-position model. The record is from RNAcentral.